RNAcentral lists this transfer RNA (84 nucleotides) under Fidelibacterota bacterium. RNAcentral describes it as "Candidatus Marinimicrobia bacterium tRNA-Leu". It matches the Rfam family "tRNA". From Rfam's summary of the family: Transfer RNA (tRNA) molecules are approximately 80 nucleotides in length. Their secondary structure includes four short double-helical elements and three loops (D, anti-codon, and T loops). Further hydrogen bonds mediate the characteristic L-shaped molecular structure. tRNAs have two regions of fundamental functional importance: the anti-codon, which is responsible for specific mRNA codon recognition, and the 3' end, to which the tRNAs corresponding amino acid is attached (by aminoacyl-tRNA synthetases). tRNAs cope with the degeneracy of the genetic code in two manners: having more than one tRNA (with a specific anti-codon) for a particular amino acid; and 'wobble' base-pairing, i.e. permitting non-standard base-pairing at the 3rd anti-codon position. Lineage: Bacteria; Pseudomonadati; Fidelibacterota. The record is from RNAcentral.
GCCCGGGUGGCGGAAUUGGUAGACGCGCUAGGUUCAGGGUCUAGUGUCCAUUAGGACGUGCUGGUUCGACUCCAGUCUCGGGCA